RNAcentral lists this ribosomal RNA (751 nucleotides) under uncultured bacterium. RNAcentral describes it as "bacterial SSU rRNA". It matches the Rfam family "Bacterial small subunit ribosomal RNA", at positions 28 to 776 of the family's 1533-position model. The record is from RNAcentral.
GAUGAACGCUGGCGCCGUGCCUAACACAUGCAAGUCGAACGGAGUCAUUUUGGAAAGCUCUUCGGAACUGGAAUCUAUGACUUAGUGGCGGACGGGUGAGUAACGCGUGAGCAAUCUGCCUUUCAGAGGGGGAUAACAGCCGGAAACGGCUGCUAAUACCGCAUAAUGCAUUGGAUUCGCAUGUUUCUGAUGCCAAAGAUUUUAUCGCUGAAAGAUGAGCUCGCGUCUGAUUAGCUAGUUGGCGGGGUAACGGCCCACCAAGGCGACGAUCAGUAGCCGGACUGAGAGGUUGAACGGCCACAUUGGGACUGAGACACGGCCCAGACUCCUACGGGAGGCAGCAGUGGGGAAUAUUGCGCAAUGGGGGCAACCCUGACGCAGCAACGCCGCGUGAUUGAUGAAGGUCUUCGGAUUGUAAAAAUCUUUAAUCAGGGACGAAGAAAAUGACGGUACCUGAAGAAUAAGCUCCGGCUAACUACGUGCCAGCAGCCGCGGUAAUACGUAGGGAGCAAGCGUUAUCCGGAUUUACUGGGUGUAAAGGGCGUGUAGGCGGGCUUGCAAGUUGGAAGUGAAAUCUCGGGGCUUAACCCCGAAACUGCUUUCAAAACUGCGAGUCUUGAGUGAUGGAGAGGCAGGCGGAAUUCCCAGUGUAGCGGUGAAAUGCGUAGAUAUUGGGAGGAACACCAGUGGCGAAGGCGGCCUGCUGGACAUCAACUGACGCUGAGGCGCGAAAGCGUGGGGAGCAAACAGG